RNAcentral lists this ribosomal RNA (497 nucleotides) under uncultured bacterium. RNAcentral describes it as "partial 16S ribosomal RNA". It matches the Rfam family "Bacterial small subunit ribosomal RNA", at positions 28 to 507 of the family's 1533-position model. The record is from RNAcentral.
GAUGAACGCUGGCGGCGUGCCUAAUACAUGCAAGUCGAGCGAACGGACGAGAAGCUUGCUUCUCUGAUGUUAGCGGCGGACGGGUGAGUAACACGUGGAUAACCUACCUAUAAGACUGGGAUAACUUCGGGAAACCGGAGCUAAUACCGGAUAAUAUUUUGAACCGCAUGGUUCAAAAGUGAAAGACGGUCUUGCUGUCACUUAUAGAUGGAUCCGCGCUGCAUUAGCUAGUUGGUAAGGUAACGGCUUACCAAGGCAACGAUGCAUAGCCGACCUGAGAGGGUGAUCGGCCACACUGGAACUGAGCCACGGUCCAGACUCCUACGGGAGGCAGCAGUAGGGAAUCUUCCGCAAUGGCGGAAAGCCUGACGGAGCAACGCGGCGUGAGUGAUGAAGGUCUUCGGAUCGUAAAACUCUGUGAUUAGGAAAGAACAUAGGUGUAAGUAACUGUGCACAUCGUGACGGUACCUAAUCAGAAAGCCACGGCUAACUACGUG